Molecule: ribosomal RNA, 468 nt
Filed under: uncultured bacterium
Lineage: Bacteria
Description: partial 16S ribosomal RNA
Rfam family: Bacterial small subunit ribosomal RNA
Source: RNAcentral
GACGAACGCUGGCGGCGUGCUUAACACAUGCAAGUCGAACGGAAAGGCCCUGCGUUUGUGGGGUGCUCGAGUGGCGAACGGGUGAUUAACAAGUGAGUAACCUGCCCUGGACUUUGUGAUAACUUCAGGAAACUGGGGCUAAUACCGGAUAGGUACUCCUGCCGCAUGGUGGGGGUUGGAAAGUUUCGGCGGUUGGGGAUGGACUCGCGUCGUAUCAGCUUGUUGGUGGGGUAGUGGCUUACCAAGGCUUUGACGGGUAGCCGGCCUGAGAGGGUGAGCGGCCAGAUUGGGACUGAGAUACGGCACAGACCCCUACGGGAGGCAGAAGUGGGGAAUAUUGCACAAUGGGCGGAAGCAUGAUGCAGCAACGCCGCGUGCGGGAUGACGGCCUUCGGGUUGUAAACCGCUUUCGCCUGUGACGAAGCGUGAGUGACGGUAAUGGGUAAAGAAGCACCGGCUAACUACGUG